GAGUUUGAUCAUGGCUCAGGAUGAACGCUGGCGGCGUGCCUAAUACAUGCAAGUCGAGCGAACGGACGAGAAGCUUGCUUCUCUGAUGUUAGCGGCGGACGGGUGAGUAACACGUGGAUAACCUACCUAUAAGACUGGGAUAACUUCGGGAAACCGGAGCUAAUACCGGAUAAUAUUUUGAACCGCAUGGUUCAAAAGUGAAAGACGGUCUUGCUGUCACUUAUAGAUGGAUCCGCGCUGCAUUAGCUAGUUGGUAAGGUAACGGCUUACCAAGGCAACGAUGCAUAGCCGACCUGAGAGGGUGAUCGGCCACACUGGAACUGAGACACGGUCCAGACUCCUACGGGAGGCAGCAGUAGGGAAUCUUCCGCAAUGGGCGAAAGCCUGACGAGCAACGCCGCGUGAGUGAUGAAGGUCUUCGGAUCGUAAAACUCUGUUAUUAGGGAAGAACAUAUGUGUAAGUAACUGUGCACAUCUUGACGGUACCUAAUCAGAAAGCCACGGCUAACUAC
RNAcentral lists this ribosomal RNA (512 nucleotides) under uncultured microorganism. RNAcentral describes it as "bacterial SSU rRNA". It matches the Rfam family "Bacterial small subunit ribosomal RNA", at positions 9 to 504 of the family's 1533-position model. The record is from RNAcentral.